AUCUAACUGACGAGUCUCAAAUAGGACGAAACGUGCGUCCUGGAU
This 45-nucleotide non-coding RNA is filed under the name Schistosoma margrebowiei. The record is from RNAcentral. Lineage: Eukaryota; Metazoa; Platyhelminthes; Trematoda; Strigeidida; Schistosomatidae.